GCGGUCGUAGCUCAACGGAUAGAGCACCAGGCUUCGAACCUGUAGGUUGGGGGUUCGAGUCCCUCCGACCGCG
This 73-nucleotide transfer RNA is filed under the name Candidatus Cybelea sp. RNAcentral describes it as "tRNA-Arg". It matches the Rfam family "tRNA". From Rfam's summary of the family: Transfer RNA (tRNA) molecules are approximately 80 nucleotides in length. Lineage: Bacteria; Bacillati; Vulcanimicrobiota; Vulcanimicrobiia; Vulcanimicrobiales; Vulcanimicrobiaceae. RNAcentral also lists the same sequence under 1 other name. The record is from RNAcentral.